CCAUCUCAAAAAAAAAAUUACUUAUAUUCAUGUCCCUAUUUUCUAGGUAAAUGUUUUAAUAAAACAAGGCUUUAAUAAAACAAGCUGCUUCUGGUUUUCCAAAUGCCUCUCUAAUUGUUCAUUACAUUCUAUGAUUUCUUUGCAUGAGAAUUAGUCACUGGCCUAUCUUUCCAUUAUUAUGCCAUGUGCUGAUUCUUCCUAAUAAACUGGGUACUUUGGUGUUGAAUCACUGGAUUUUAUUCAGGUUUCCAUUUCUAAAUGAAAACCAAAAUGUGAAUUUAUUCCAUGUCCUUAUGCUUUUAAGAAAGAAAGAGCCCUCAUAUUGACAAUUAGAAUCUCAGUAACAGUGACUUUGCUUCCAAAGAUACACUUGUAAACUGUGAAAGAACAUGUCAAGUACAUUGUCACUUUAAAGGCCAUUACAAUUUCUGUUUACUUUCCUGUAUCAAAUUUUCUCUAAAUAUACAUUUGAUCUGCUCAUUGUAGAAUUAAGAAAACCCACAUUUUUCCUGAUUAUCUUAAUCUCUGAUUACUGAGGUAUGAUUGCCACCACAGAGAAAAAGCUCUACUAAAAAGAUAUACUUUUUUUCCAAAAGCAAACAAGAAAAUUUUCAACCUAUGUGUACAAAUAACUUGAAUGUACUCCAUUUUAAAUUUUGACUUUGGAAUCACAUAAAUGUUUUAUAUAAUUAAACAUAAUUGCAUCAGUAAAGUGAAAAUAGCUAAAAAAAAAAAAAAAAAUUAGUUAAAACUAAUGAACCCAACUAUAUAUUGGUAGUAAAAGCACAGAAUUAUCUCAAGAUUUAAAAUAUAGUAUACUUACUAAACAUGAUGGAUUAUAUCCUAAGAAAAAAACUGCAAAGAGCUUUAAACUACAUAAUAAUGCUCUCAUCUUUCAUAACUGAUAUUAGCAUUGGUAGUCUGUUAUUUUUUAUUGUUUGAGAUGGAGUCUCUCUUUGUUGCCCAAGCUGGAGUUCAGUGGUGCAAUCUUGGUUCACUGCAAUGUCCACCUCCUGGGCUCAAGCAAUUUUUGUGCCUCAGCCUCCUGGGUAGCUGGGAUUACAAGCACCUGCCACCAUACCUGGCUAAUUUUUUGUAUUUUUAGUAGAGAUGGGGUUUCACCAUGUUGGCCAGGCUGAUCUCAAACUCAUAACCUCAAGUGAUCCGCCCGCCUUGGCUUCCCAUAGUGCUAGGAUUACAAGCGUGAGCUACCACACCUGGCCAGCAUUGGUAUUUUGAAAUAUAUAUCAACCCCUAUGACAUAUUCUUGUUAAAACUCAAUCUAUUCAAACUUCUAGAUCUAUAAGUGCAGAAAAAAUAUGGAAAUAUGAAUAAUACAGGAUGAUAACACUACAAAAUGCAAUCAGUGAAAUAAAAAUAUAAAAAUCUGUACAGAAAAAAAUGAUCCAAUUUCUUUAACAAAAUGCAUGAGAACAAGUUAUAGAUGACAAGCGACUUAAGAGGCAUAUUAACCAAGUCCAAUGUCUUGCCCUUGUUUAGAUCCUGAUCCGAACAAAUCUACUGUAAAAAGAUAUUCUUGUAACAAUUGGGAAAAAUUAAACAUGGACUAAAUGUUAGAAAAUAUUUGGUAUUUACUGCUAUUAACUUUGUUAGGUGAUAAAAUGUAUUUUGGUUAUUUUUUAAUCCUUGUAUAUUAACAGUACACACUAAAGUGUUUACGGAUGAAGUAGUGCUUAAGAUUUGCUUGAAAAUACAGAUGAAAACGAGAUAAUUUAAACAAGAAUGACAAAUUAUUGACAAUAUUUAAGCUUGGUGAUGAAUAAGUGGGCAUUCAGUAUACUGUUCUCCCUGUUUUUGAAAUUUUCCAUCCUGAAAAGUUUUUAAAAUAAUUUACCCUCUCUAUCUCACUUGUGUCAGUGUGCAGGUACCUACUACAACAUAUGCUCUGCUUCUUACUGAGCACACAACUAGAUAUUCCCAGACUUCCUUCCUUGCAGGUACAUGUAUACAUGUGAUAGUUCUAAACAAUGGAAUGUGCACCAAACAUGAUAAAUGAAGCUUUCAGAGCCGCCCCAUACAGCCCUGUGGGGGAACUCUAUCAUGUUCUUCUCCCUUGCAAGUGAUUGGUAGAACAAUGACUAGAGCAAUCUUGAAAGCCAAGUGUUGAAGAUGACAGAGUGAAGAUAUCCAGAGUAAUCUGAAGGGUCAUGUGGAGCAAAUACCCCUUCAGCCAGCUUUAGCCCUGGACUGUCACAUGAAAAAAAAAAAAAUGGAUUAAGUUUGGAUCACUACAUUUGAGCGUAUUUCUUAGAGAAGUCUGCCUCCUUAACUAAUAAGAAUCAUCUCUUGCCUGAAUCCUGACUGCCUAGCACAGUGUCUGAACAUAGCAGAUGUUAAAAAAUGUGUAAGUAUAAUAAUCCUAAAUCUUUUCCAUCACAUCUGUCAAUAGUGAAUCAUAUCUCCUUCUAUGAGAGAUUAUUCUUCCUCCGUAGCAGAGUUGUUGCUCCUCUGCAUUUACAUAGCUCUUUGGGCUAGCUUGUAUUGCAGUCUUUUCAUUGCAGUUUGGUAAUACCUUCUCCUCUAUCUCCCUGAAGAUAGGAAUAAAUUUUUCUGUACUAUUUUGUAUCCCAUCACCAAUCAGAAUGCCAGGAAUAUAGUAGAUGCUCAAUAAAUGCUAACUAAUAAAUGCCUAUCAUAGAGAAAGCAUAAAAUGGAUAGAUUAAAACAUGAAAAUCUUUGAGUUCUUUGAGUGCAUAUCUUUAAAAAGGAGCAGAGAAGAAAAGUAAGAAUUAUUAGAUUUUUCUUUAAGAGGAUAAGCCAAGAAAUAGGAAUUAGAGAUACAGAAAAUUGUUAGGAAGAAACCUAUGAAAUGAUAUUAUAAGUUCACACAUUCUGAUUCAGUCUUAGUUAAAAUUGUUAUCAAAACCAUAGACAUAAAGUCAAAACAAUAUUUAGCAAGAACUCAAGCUGGGAAGAGAACGUUGAUACAGGUGUUUUGAGUACAUAAAGCAGGGUUAGCCAUUGUCUUAGGAAUAAACUGGAAAAUGUUAAAGAGUACUUACAGAAUAGCUAACAAAUUUUAAAUUAAAGUCAUUUUUAAACUACAUAUUGUCACUGUAAGGUUGUUUUUGCCAAGUCUGUUUACUAAAGGAAAAUUUUUUCCCUGUACUACUCAGAGAUUUGUUUUAAUAGUUGUCUUCCCAAGACUACUCAUCUGGAACCUUGAGACUGCCUACUAUAAUCUGGGAAACCACAUUAAAUGUUUGAGAUAAUUAUAUUUGUUAAUUUAAAGUUAUGGAUCAGGCAUCAGUAACCCCUCCCCCUUUUUUUCUGUAAAGAAUGAGAUAGUAAAUAAUUUAGGCUUUAUAGGUUAUAUAGUCACUCUUUGUCAAAACUACUAAAUUUUUUAUGAAAGCAGCCAUAAGCAAUACAUAAUGAAUGGGUAUGACUAUGUUAAAAUAAGAUUUUAUUUAUGAAAACAGGUGACAGGCCAAAUUUGGCCCAUAUAAUUCAUCAGCCCCCUUUAGACUAAGUUUAUCCUACGAGACUUUUUUUUUUUGACCAAUAUUGUAGCAGUUUAUUUCCUAUAAAUUCACAGAUUGUUUUUUAUAUUUAACUCAAUACUGAAUAACUAUAAACACUGUAAACUCUCCUACUAAAUUGGGAAUGUAUCUAAGGUUUUCUCCUUGCAGGAGAUUUUUGCAAGUAAAAUUCAUGAGUGAUUUUAAUAAAUGGAUUUUAAAUUAGAGUGGAAGAUCUUUUACUUUCAUAAAUUCCAAAACUCUUAUAUAAAUCAAUGGAAGGUGGAAUUUCAAGGAAAGUAGAAAUCUUCCCUGGCAAAUGCCAAAGAAAUUUUGACAGAGAUGAAACUAAAAUAAUUCCAUUAUAUUUUCCCAUAAAAUGAUUACCAGGACAGUAUUAGUAGAGUAAUGUGAACUAUAAAAUUGUAGAGCUCAAGAGGCUAGAAAGAGCUGAUCUGUGGAGAAAUUCAGACUCUGUAUUUCCAAUGUCAUAAAAUAGCUCUCAGCAUUGAAAGGAUUUUUAAAAAUCUUUUAAUUUGGAAUUUUUGUGGGUACAUAGUAGGUGUGUAUGGGGUACAUGAGAUAUUUUGAUACAAGCAUGCAAUGUAAAAUAAUCACAUCAUGGAGAGUAGGGUAUCCAUCCCCUCAAGCAUUUAUCCUUUGUGUUACAAUCUGGUUACACACUUAUCUUUAAAUGUACAGUUAUUAUUGACUACAGUCCCAUUGUUGUGCUAUCCAAUAGCAGGUCUUAAUUAAUUUUUUUUUGUUCCCAUUAGCCAUCCCCACCUGCCUCCCUGCGCCCAACUACCCUUUCCAGCCUCUGAUAACCAUCCUUCUAUUCUCUAUGUCCGUGAGUUCAAUUGUUUAGAUCUCACAAGUAAGUGAGAACAUGUGAUGUUCGUCUUUCUGUGCCUUAUUUCAUUAACAUAGUGAUCUCCAGUUCUAUCCACAUUGAUGCAAAUGACUGGAUCUCAUUCUUUUUUAUGAUUGAAUAGUACUCCAUUGUGUAUAUGUUCCACAUUUUCUUUAUCCAUUCCUCUGUUGAUAGACACUUAUGUUGAUUCCAAAUCUUAGCUGUUGUGAACAGUACUGCAACAAGCAUGAAAGUGCAGAUAUUUCUUUGAUAUACUGAUUUCCUUCUUUUGGAUACAUACCCGACAGUAGGAUUGCUGGAUCAGAUGGUAGCUCUAUUAUUAGUUUUUUGAGAAACCUCCAAACUGUUCUCCAGAGUGGCUGUACUAAUUUACAUUCCCAUCAACAGUAUACAAGGGUUCCCUUUUCUCUAAAUUCUCACCAAAUGUUAUUGCCUGUCCUUUGUGUAUACGCUAUUUUAACUGGGGUGAAAUGAUAUCUCAUUGUAGUUUUGAUUUGCAUUUCUCUGAUCAAUUAUGUUGAGUACCUUUUCAUAUGCCUGUUUGCCAUUUGUGUGUCAUCUUCUGAUAAAUGUUUAUUCAAAUCAUUUGCCGAGUUUUUGACUGGAUUAUUAGAUUUUUUUUCCUGUAGAGUUGUUUGAGCUCCUUAAAAGGAAUUAUUUCUUAAAAGUAAAAACAAAAUAAAUCUCAUGUAAAAGUGAGAUACUCAUAAAAAGUAUCAUAAAAUUGAUUUAUUUUCCAAAAAGUCCAAUUAAUGUCUUAAAAUAUGAAAUGUUGAAACAGAGACCAAGGAUGCUAACAUCUUAUGAUGAAAAUAAGGGCCCAGGUGAGGUACAUGAGAAUAAAUUCAGAGAACUGACAGCGUUUAAUUGAUGAAGAAGCACCUACAUUGAAUUCAGAAGAGCAUAUGAGCUAAUCAGUAUACAGAAGAUAUGUGAAAAUGAUGUUGCAGUAUUGAGGGAACUUAGCUGACUUUUGUCUUAUUCUCAGACAAAGGAAACUUAGAGGAGUUUUUGUUGUUGUUGUUUUAUUUAAUAAUUCCAUUUAAGAAGAAAUUGGUUCCUCUCUGGCUAGCAAAUACUUUUUGGUUCUCACCUGGAGAGGUAACUUACAGAUUAUUUUAUUCUCCACUAAUCAUCACUCUUCCCCAAGGUCCAGCUGAGUGAUUACAAUUGGCUUGAAAAAUCAGUAUCUUGUUUGUGGAGAGAAAUGUACAUGUAUAUGUUUUCUGUUUCUUCUAUCAGUUUCCUCUGGCUGCUAUAGCAAAUUACCACAAACUUAAUGGCUUAAAACAACACAUCUUUAUGUUCUUAAAGUUCUAGAUAUCAGACGUCUGAGAUCAGUUUUAAUGAGAAAAAAAUCAAGAUGUUGGCAGCAUCGUGCUCUUUCUAGAGGGUCUGGGGAGAAGCUGUUCCUCACCUUCUCUAGCUGGCAUUCCUGGGCUUGUGGCUAUAUCACUUCAAUCUCUGUCUUUGUGGUCGUAUCACCUUCUCUUCUGUGUGAAGUUGAUAGGGACUGAAUUGUGUCCUCCAAAAUUCAUGUGUUGAAGCCCUAAUUCUGAAUACCUCAAAUGUGACUGCACAGUAGUCUCCCCUUUUCAAUGGUUUCACUUUCUGUGUGGUCAACCAUAGUCUAAAAAUAUUAAAUGGAAAUUUCCAGAAAUAAAUAAUUCAUAAGUUUUAAAUUCUGAGCCAUUCUGAGUAGUCUGAUGAAAUUUUGCUCUCCUGCUCUGUUCCACCAUGUCCAGCACAGGAUGUGAAUGAUCCCAUUGUCCAGCAUAUCUGUACUAUAAACUCUCCUUGACAGUCACUUAGCAGAUACCUUGGUUAUUAGAUUUUUAAAAUUUUGGUGUAUAUAAGGCUCUGUACUCUCCGAGGUUUCAGGCAUCCACUGGGGGUGUUGGAAUGCAUCCCCUGUGGAUAAGGAGAAACUAUUAUAUUUGGAGACUGGGCCUCUAAAGAGAUGAUUAAGUUAAAAUGAUACCAUUAGAGUGGGCCAUAAUCCAAUCUGUCUGGUAUCCUGAUAAGAAGAGGAGAUUUUGACCCACAGAGAGACCCAGGUAUGCAUGCAAAUAGAGAAGGAACAUAUGAAGACAGAACCUGCUGACACCUUGAUCUUGGAAUUUCAGCUUCCAAAAUUGUGAGAAAAUAAAUUUCUGUUGUUUAUGC
This 6522-nucleotide long non-coding RNA is filed under the name Macaca fascicularis (crab-eating macaque). Its description in RNAcentral is "lncRNA (ENSMFAG00000051157.1)". The record is from RNAcentral. Lineage: Eukaryota; Metazoa; Chordata; Mammalia; Primates; Cercopithecidae.